GACGAACGCUGGCGGCGUGCUUAACACAUGCAAGUCGAACGGACAUUCCCUGCUUUUUUGGGGUGCUCGAGUUGCGAACUGGUGAUUAACACUUGAGUACCCUGCCCUUGCCUUUGGGUUAACUUCAUGCAACUUGGGCUAAUACCGGAUAGGAGCUCCUGCUGCAUGGUGGGGGUUGGAUAGUUUCGGCUGUUGGGGAUGGACUCGCGGCUUAUCAGGUUGUUGGUGGGGUAGUGGCUUACCAAGGCUUUGAGGGGUAGCAGGCCUGAGCGGGGGACCGGCAAAAUUGGGAUGGAGAUAAGGCACAGACUCCUACGGGAGGCAGCAGUGGGGAAGAGUGCACAAUGGGCUGAAGCCUGAUGCAGCAACGCCGCGUGCGGGAUGACGGCAUUCGGGUUGUAAACCGCUUUCGCCUGUGACGAAGCGAGAGUGACGGUAAUGGGUGAAGAAGCACCGGCUAACUACGUG
RNAcentral lists this ribosomal RNA (468 nucleotides) under uncultured bacterium. RNAcentral's name for it is "partial 16S ribosomal RNA". It matches the Rfam family "Bacterial small subunit ribosomal RNA", at positions 28 to 507 of the family's 1533-position model. The record is from RNAcentral.